This 92-nucleotide small RNA is filed under the name Kaistella antarctica. RNAcentral describes it as "Chryseobacterium antarcticum Flavo-1 RNA". The record is from RNAcentral. Lineage: Bacteria; Pseudomonadati; Bacteroidota; Flavobacteriia; Flavobacteriales; Weeksellaceae.
ACCGCGACCCGGCUUGAGUGGAAAUCCUUUUUUUCUGCUUUGGCAUUGGCGCUGGCGGAAAAAAAGAUUAGGAACGGAAGACGGAAUUGUUC